RNAcentral lists this ribosomal RNA (549 nucleotides) under uncultured Cortinarius. RNAcentral's name for it is "eukaryotic LSU rRNA". The stretch from base 151 to 304 matches the Rfam family "5.8S ribosomal RNA". The record is from RNAcentral. Lineage: Eukaryota; Fungi; Basidiomycota; Agaricomycetes; Agaricales; Cortinariaceae.
GGGUUGUUGCUGGUUCUCUAGGGAGCAUGUGCACACCUUGUCAUCUUUAUAUCUCCACCUGUGCACCUUUUGUAGACCUUUUCAGGUCUAUGUUGCUUCAUUUACCCCCAAUGUAUGUUAAUAGAAUGUUGUGCCUAUAAUAAUAUAUACAACUUUCAGCAACGGAUCUCUUGGCUCUCGCAUCGAUGAAGAACGCAGCGAAAUGCGAUAAGUAAUGUGAAUUGCAGAAUUCAGUGAAUCAUCGAAUCUUUGAACGCACCUUGCGCUCCUUGGUAUUCCGAGGAGCAUGCCUGUUUGAGUGUCAUUAAUAUAUCAACCUUCUCUUGUUGAGUGGUUUGGAUGUGGGAGUUUGCUGGCCUCUUGAAAGGUUUUAGCUCUCCUGAAAUGCAUUAGCGGAACAACCCUGUUCAUUGGCGUGAUAACUAUCGACGCUAUUGAAUGUAAAGGGCAGUUUGGCUUUCUAACAGUCCUUGGACAGCUCAUCAUUAAUGUGACCUCAAAUCAGGUAGGACUACCCGCUGAACUUAAGCAUAUCAAUAAGCGGAGGAA